AUUAUGUUAACGGAGUUAGGCUAGGUUGCUAAUGGUUUACAUGUAAGAGAAGGGAUUAACAUGGCAUCUGAAUUGUCUUUUUUCCCCCCAUCCAAUUUGUUUUGUUUUAUUAACAAAGCAUCAGUUUACUUUAGGUAAUAUGUAAAUAUGGGAUGUCACGAUAAAAUGUGUUAGUGUUAAUAUUUGUACGAAAAUAGCGUUUAACAGUUCGCUAGCUUGAUGCUAACCACAUUUAGCUUGGCUAAGCGCUAGUUAGCUCUAGCCUAGUUGGUUUUAGUCAAUGCCAGCAGUUAAUAAUGUAAUGGUUGUAGCGUUGUUUCGCAUAGGCGUCCAGUGAUUUAGAGUUUUUUUCAAAAUUGACACUGAUAGGACAGUGAGUUAUAUGUAAUGUGAAUGUGUAGAUGUAUGGUGACUUCAUGUUUGGAUGAACGUGCCAUGGGCAAGUCCCUUGACGGGUAACGGAUGGUGGAAGGACAAUCUGAAGGUGAGACUGAACAUGGACAAGGCGCAUGAGAAAAAGGAGAGCCACCGGAGAAGAAUCAAGGGAACCAACCGACAUCCCGGUGAAUGACUUGGUUUGGAAGAAGGACGAAAGGAAGGCGAGACCCGGGUAAGCUUGGUGCUCCUAGCUGGGGUCACCAUCAGUUAAGAACCACACAAACUCUUAGUUAACACAAUUGUUAAGCCAUACACUGUGCUGUGCUGUUACUGCUAUGUGAAUCAGCGUCAUUAAACAACCUCAACUGGAAUCAUACCGGUCUGUCAUCUGUGCUCUUACAAGCAGCUGGGAGAGAGCACAUAGUGCUAAGUAAAACCUAACCCUAAAGAAUAUACAGUCCUCAACUACCUCCAGGUAGGUACUGUUAAGGUAUAUGACUCCAGUGGUCAUGACACCACCCUGGAGUUUCUCUCACAACUCAUCUCUGUCUUUUCCAGGGACCAUCCCUUAUCCUUUCUUUUCUGUCUGCCAUUAACAUUACUGUAUGUCUAAUCAAACACUUAAAUUAAAUGAUUCAAUAAGUGUAUUUUUACAUACCUGAUAAUCCUUUAACCUGUGUGUUUGCUUGUUUACAUCUGUCUCCUACCCUUUACUCUGCUCCUGUUCUCCAGGACCUAGGGGUUCUGCCUAACACCCAGACAUGGACCCAGCUGAUGUCUUUCAUUACCAACCACCCUCCAACUUUUCAUUACAUCAGCUACUGUUAUUGUCAAGUUGUCAUUAUCUGCUAAGAAAGAGCAAGAAAACUAUCAUACUGGGCACAUAAUGUGAGAUGCACAGAUUAGCUAAAAACAGUAGCACUGCAAACACUCAGAACAAAGGCGGCAGCAGCGCCUGGACUUUGCAGUUUCCCUCUUCGAGUCCACCUUCCAAGACUGACUACCUGAUGAAAACAAGUGACAGGCAGACCUCCCAUCCACACAAUACCCACCACCUCUCUAUUCCACACAUCGGAAUUCAGUAUUUCAGUCUGAUUGUUUGUACACUCACAUGGCAAUCUGAAAGUAAAUUGACACACAUGUACCAAAAAAAUAAAGUUUAUGUAUUUAAAUCUAAAA
This is a long non-coding RNA of Salvelinus sp. IW2-2015, 1557 nucleotides long. RefSeq lists it as uncharacterized. The record is from RefSeq and is a predicted model, not a curated record. NCBI's taxonomy places the organism in Eukaryota, Metazoa, Chordata, Actinopteri, Salmoniformes, Salmonidae.